RNAcentral lists this small nuclear RNA (89 nucleotides) under Panthera tigris altaica (Amur tiger). The record is from RNAcentral. Lineage: Eukaryota; Metazoa; Chordata; Mammalia; Carnivora; Felidae.
GUGCUCGCUUCGGCAACCACAUAUACUAAAAUUAGCAUGGCCCCUGCAGCAAGGACGGUGAGCAAAUUCGUGAAGCGUUCCAUUUUUAA